AGGUUACUGCUAUCGGUGUUCGCCUAAGCCAUGCGAGUCAUAUGUUCUUCGUGAACAUGGCGUACUGCUCAGUAACACGUGGAUAACCUGCCCUUGGGUCCGGCAUAACCCCGGGAAACUGGGGAUAAUUCCGGAUAACGCACAUAUGCUGGAAUGCUUUAUGCGUCAAAUGGAUUCGUCCGCCCAAGGAUGGGUCUGCGGCCUAUCAGGUAGUAGUGGGUGUAAUGUACCUACUAGCCUACGACGGGUACGGGUUGUGAGAGCAAGAGCCCGGAGAUGGAUUCUGAGACAUGAAUCCAGGCCCUACGGGGCGCAGCAGGCGCGAAAACUUUACAAUGCGGGAAACCGUGAUAAGGGGACACCGAGUGCCAGCAUCCUAUGCUGGCUGUCCGGGUGUGUAAAAUACACCUGUCAGCAAGGGCCGGGCAAGACCGGUGCCAGCCGCCGCGGUAACACCGGCGGCCCGAGUGGUGAUCGUGAUUAUUGGGUCUAAAGGGUCCGUAGCCGGUUUGGUCAGUCCUCCGGGAAAUCUGACAGCUCAACUGUUAGGCUUUCGGAGGAUACUGCCAGACUUGGAACCGGGAGAGGUAAGAGGUACUACAGGGGUAGGAGUGAAAUCUUGUAAUCCCUGUGGGACCACCUGUGGCGAAGGCGUCUUACCAGAACGGGUUCGACGGUGAGGGACGAAAGCUGGGGGCACGAACCGGAUUAGAUACCCGGGUAGUCCCAGCCGUAAACGAUGCUCGCUAGGUGUCAGGCAUGGCGCGACCGUGUCUGGUGCCGCAGGGAAGCCGUGAAGCGAGCCACCUGGGAAGUACGGCCGCAAGGCUGAAACUUAA
RNAcentral lists this ribosomal RNA (839 nucleotides) under uncultured archaeon. Its description in RNAcentral is "bacterial SSU rRNA". It matches the Rfam family "Archaeal small subunit ribosomal RNA", at positions 21 to 859 of the family's 1478-position model. The record is from RNAcentral.